Molecule: ribosomal RNA, 472 nt
Filed under: uncultured bacterium
Lineage: Bacteria
Description: bacterial SSU rRNA
Rfam family: Bacterial small subunit ribosomal RNA
Source: RNAcentral
AUGGCUCAGGAUGAACGCUGGCGGCGUGCCUAACACAUGCAAGUCGAGCGAUUACUUAGGUAAAGAGCGGCGGACGGGUGAGUAACGCGUGGGUAACCUGCCUCAUACACAUGGAUAACAUACCGAAAGGUAUGCUAAUACAGGAUAAUAUAAGAGAUUCACAUGGAUUUUUUAUCAAAGCUCCGGCGGUAUGAGAUGGACCCGCGUCUGAUUAGCUAGUUGGUAAGGUAAUGGCUUACCAAGGCGACGAUCAGUAGCCGACCUGAGAGGGUGAUCGGCCACAUUGGAACUGAGACACGGUCCAAACUCCUACGGGAGGCAGCAGUGGGGAAUAUUGCACAAUGGGCGAAAGCCUGAUGCAAGCAACGCCGCGUGAGUGAUGAAGGCCUUCGGGUCGUAAAACUCUGUCCUCAAGGAAGAUAAUGACGGUACUUGAGGAGGAAGCCCCGGCUAACUACGUGCCAGCAGCAGC